UUUUCCUACGGGGCGCAGCAGUGAGGAAUAUUGGUCAAUGGGCUUACGCCUGAACCAGCCGAGUCGCGUGAGGGAAGACUGCCCUAUGGGUUGUAAACCUCUUUUGUCAGGGAGCAACGCCGGCUACGUGUAGCCGGACUGAGAGUACCUGAAGAAAAAGCAUCGGCUAACUCCGUGCCAGCAGCCGCGGUAAUACGGAGGAUGCGAGCGUUAUCCGGAUUUACUGGGUGUAAAGGGAGCGUAGGCGGCUGUGUAAGCCAGAAGUGAAAGCCCGAGGCUCAACCACGGGACUGCUUUUGGAACUA
This 305-nucleotide ribosomal RNA is filed under the name uncultured bacterium. Its description in RNAcentral is "bacterial SSU rRNA". It matches the Rfam family "Bacterial small subunit ribosomal RNA", at positions 334 to 635 of the family's 1533-position model. The record is from RNAcentral.